GAUGAAGAACGUAGCGAAAUGCGAUACGGAAUGUGAAUUGCAGAAUUCAGUGAAUCAUCGAAUCUUUGAACGCAUAUUGCGCUCUCUGGUAUUCCGGAGAGCAUGCUUGUUUGAGUAUCAGUAAACACCUCAACUUCCAUAUCUUUUUUGAAAUGGGAGUUGGACUUGAGUGAUCCCAACGCUUUUCCUCACCGAAAAGUGGCGGGUUACUUGAAAUGCAGGUGCAGCUGGACUUUUCUCUGAGCUAUAAGCAUAUCUAUUUAGUCUGCCUAAAAAACAGAUUAUUACCUAUGCUGCAGCUAACAUAAAGGAGAUUAGUUCUUGUGCUGACUGAUGCAGGAUUCACAAAGACAGGCUUCGGCCGACUUUGUAAACUCGAUCUCAAAUCAAGUAAGACUACCCGCUGAACUUAAGCAUAUCAAUAAGCGGAGGA
RNAcentral lists this unclassified non-coding RNA (433 nucleotides) under soil metagenome. RNAcentral's name for it is "partial contains 5.8S ribosomal RNA, internal transcribed spacer 2, and large subunit ribosomal RNA". The stretch from base 1 to 120 matches the Rfam family "5.8S ribosomal RNA", at positions 35 to 154 of the family's 154-position model. The record is from RNAcentral.